ACUCAAAUAGCUUAUAUUUAGAGCAUGACACUGAAGAUGUUAAGGAAAUAAAUUUAUUUUUGAGUA
Molecule: transfer RNA, 66 nt
Filed under: Calliptamus abbreviatus
Lineage: Eukaryota; Metazoa; Arthropoda; Insecta; Orthoptera; Acrididae
Description: tRNA-Phe
Rfam family: tRNA
About the family: Transfer RNA (tRNA) molecules are approximately 80 nucleotides in length.
Source: RNAcentral